Long non-coding RNA from Pieris napi, 4223 nucleotides. RefSeq lists it as uncharacterized. The record is from RefSeq and is a predicted model, not a curated record. NCBI's taxonomy places the organism in Eukaryota, Metazoa, Arthropoda, Insecta, Lepidoptera, Pieridae. The transcript has 3 exons.
CUAUGGGAUUGAGCUGGUAUGGGGGCAGACGUAAAACAAUUAUCCCAUGCUGCGCUGCCAUCUCGUCCACAACAUAAUUAUCGCAAUGUUCUUGUUUGUGGUACCGUACAAUGUCUAUAAGAGUAGCUUUAACCAUUGCUGCUUCGAAUAAAAUAUUUUUGCUUGUUAGCCACUCUUGUAUUCUAGGUUUAGUCCAAGGCAUUUUAGGCAGCGAUUCUAGUUGGGAGUGGUAGGGAGCACUACUACGGAAUUUGGUUUUAGUUUUGGCAAGACCCACCAAACCACUUCUCAAAGGAAUCGGCAUUCAUCUCUUGAUGAUAAUCUUCUUUGAUUUUUUUGGCUUCAAAUAUUAAUAAGCUGUGUUCUAUGAGUAUUUUUUAUAUGGCCUAUAUGGCUGAUAAUUAAUCGUUUGCCUUUUCCUGAAGGCUGUUUUAAGCCAGUGGUCAAGCCAUUUAGGAAUGCCUGGCGGGACGAUAACACUGUCUGGUCAAUCCAUGCCUUCUUCGGUGCAUGACCUUCAAGAUAGCGAAAAAUAUCAAUAUAAGUUAGUAGGCAACGGUCGGCCUUAUCUCUUACAAGCUAUUUCUUCCAGGCAUCCCUGAUAUGGAACAAAAUAAAAGAAACACCUAGGGUAGACCGAGUCCAAUCAGAUCACUUUUUCUUUGUGGUUCAGCAAAUCAUACUAAAGUGUUAUAUAAUGUUAUUUUUAUUGAUAAAAUCGUAAGAAGUAACAAUUAGCUAUGAAAUAAACAUUUGAAAACUUAAAUCAUACAUAUUAUACUCUCUUAAUUAGCUUUUAAAAACUAAAAAAAGGAAAAUAUCCGAAUCGCCCCAAUUUUCGGGGUGAAUCGGAUCGUACACGACAUGUAACAAAAUUUUAAGUUUCUUAAGACUAUAACUUUGGAAUGAGUAGAAAAUUAAUAAUGAGAUCAAUUUUAAUUAUUGGCACAUAAUUCACAUAUUCACAUAGUUUUUUUUCCACCCCCUUAUAAGCACAUUUUUCGUGGCACCAUUCUUCGCAAGCAUUGCACUGAAUCCAAUCCUCAGAUUGUUGAUGAACGAGUAUUAUUCGUUCUUUUAUUCCUUCCGGCUUCCGAAUAAUUAUUUUUUUAUUUAUUUGUAUUGUAUGUUUUGACGUUCUGUAAAUUCAAACGCGUACUUACGUUACGCUUUGGGUGUAAUUCCGAAGCCACAACUUGCCACGUGCAAUAGCCGGUCAGCUAACCUCUUUUCUGCAUUCUCAUCUAAUGCUGGCUGUCCACAUCGACUCUUAAUAAUACCCCUGGAUAAAGUAACUCUUAUCUGUAAGCUCGUGAACGGUGAUCGGCAUCUUUGGAAUUCCAGAGUCAUUUUGAUAAGCCUCCAAAAAUUUCAGAAUCGUAGGUGCUGACCAAUCAGACAUUUUUUACGCUUUGCGCGCCAACGAAAAAGUGUAGCAAGUAAAUACGUCCGCCUCCCGCAAGCUCGCGCGCAUACUGAUCGCUGCCAAACGUGUGGAUACGUAGCAAACUGUUUGCCAAACAUCCUUUGAUCUGGCAAGAUAAACCGACACCGAUGCCGAACACUGCCCAACACAAACACCAACAGGCAAACAACGACAAACACCCAUCCACACGUCCGUGUUUGCUGUUGGCUGUUUGCCAUUGUUUGACAAGCGUGUGGAUGGGGAUUAAUAAAUUGUUUGCAAGAAUGAAAUUCACCAUAUAAAAAUUUUGUUUUGGUAUAAAAUAAUGCAUUUUAUUAAUCAAAGGUCUCAACUUCCACAUUUUAUCUGUCUCUUCUAUAUUGUUAUUGUUUACACAAUGAAGGUACCGCCGCAUAAUCUCUUCGAAUCUUUUACGCCGCAUGGCAUUGUGUAUUAGAUAUUUUUUAGUAUCUUGUGAGCAGACCAAUAUAUUCCUUUGUUACCAACGAGACUGUAUCCACUUAUUAUCAAAAUUUCUAUAAAACAUCUCAUUUCAUCAGAUGUUAUUUUAGUAUCCGGGCAGUAUUUCCAUAACGCGUAUUAGAUUACGAAACCAACAUUUUUACUAUAUCAUCCUCAAUUAUUAGCUCAAAUAUUAAAAUUGCAGACAAAUUUUUUAUUGCAGUGAGAUCUUGUUCUGGAAAUGACCUAUAUGACCUUAUGAUAUCAGGGUGGUAUUAUAUAUACAGAAUACCUUGAGCAAAAAAAGUCCAUUACCAAUAGUAGAAUAAAAUCCAAAUUGGCAUAUACUCGUAUAUAUAUACAAAAAACUCACAUGGAGAUUGGAUGCGAAUAUGAGUACUGUCAAUAGCAAUAUUGAAUACAUAUUUAUCAUAUAAUCUGGCGAUUGCGACAGAUAUGUCCCGCACUAUUCUGCCUGCAGAGGAAUUGGAAACGCCUACGAAAUCAGCCACAGAAAUCAGCAUUGUGCCGAAUGCAUAACAUCGCAGCGUCAAUAAUAGCUGAUGUAGGCAUUAUUUCUGGUAAUAAUUUGCAAGGAAUAUAUUAUAAGUUCUGCAUUACGAUACCUUAAUUGGCAAACCAGUUAACUCCAUACAAGCAAAAUUUUCAGGAGACACUUAAAAUGUUAUAAAAAAAUUUGUAGACUACUUAUGGAAACAUUUUAAGUACCAUUGGUAGAUAUUAUCGUAAACUGUUAUUCUCAAUACUAUACAGGGUGUUUGGUGCAUCGUUUGCCAAAUCAAAAUGGUGGAUUGGGGGGGUCUUUAUCUAUUAUCCCAGGCCUCACAAAGAGUUCUUGGGCCAACGGAAUAAUUAAUGUCGAUUUUUUUUAUGUUUUCUUUAAAUUAUCCAAAAUUUGACUUUCAAAGGUAAAUAAAAAAUAAAUUAUACAGUAAUUACACAUAAUGUUAUUUUUUUCUUAAUCUACAAUAGUGUACCAAUCCCAAAAAUAAAAAAUUACUUGCCAGCAGUAUGUAGUUUUUUUUUAUUAACUCGCAAAGUGUUAUAAUCCUUUAUACCGUUUCAUUACAAUACUACAGCGUUUUUAGGAGUUAUCCGUUUUUCCUUUUCUGUAAAAGUAUGUGGUGUAGGAGUUAGCUGAUUUGCACGAUAGAUUAAUUAAAAAAAGUUUUUUUUUUAAGUUAUAAUUAAAAUAAAGUAUACUUAAAAAUAAUCAUAUAUUGAUAAAGACAACAUUAAAUGGUACACAAUUUUAGGCUUCAUGAGGAAGCUUGUAAUAGUUUUGGUAAUCUCUUGGCAUUGAGUUUUUAAUUGCUGUAAAUCUAAAUACUUUUUUUUGUAAUUUUCCUGCGUUCAUUGUACAGGUCAGGUAAAUUAUGAAAAGGAAUGUUGUUAAUUCGGGUAUUCCUACGUUGAUUGAGCAAUUUGUACUCUUCAGUUAAUUUAAGCUUAUAAAAUAUUUCUCUAGAUGGUGUAAAUUUAAGAGCUCGUAUGUCGGUAACCUGGAAAAGAGUCUAAGUAACAUUGAAAAGGAAUAUGAAGAUUUUGUAAAGAAGAAAUCUUGGUUACUAAUUUAUUACAAAAUUUGUAGAGAAGGUCAGCCACAGAACCUAACUACUAUAGAAGCUAAAAAGCCUCAAAACAAACACUUAAAUAGGUACAGAGAUGUUAGCCUAUAUAACAUACACGUGUUAAAUUGAACCAAAUCGAAAGGGAUUACAUCAAUGCCAACUAUGUAAAUAUACCACGUGCAAACAGAAAGUAUAUUCUUACCCAAGGACCAUUAGCUGCCACUAUGGGACAUUUUUGGCUCAUGGUAUGGGAGCAAUGUUGUACGGGCAUAAUAAUGUUAAACAGAUUGAUUGAAAAUAAGGAGACAAAGUGUCACCAGUACUGGCCUGGUGAAGUUGGAUCAGAGUCUAUUUAUGAAGAUGUUCAGUUGGCAGUCACACUUAUUAGUGAACAAAAUAAAAAUUAAACUACAUACUCAGAAAAUUCAAGUAAGUGCUUCUCAUCAUUAUAUAUACAUUUUUCACAAGAAAAUGAGGAACUAAAUUUUUAAAGUUUUGAUAAUCCUUUAUUUUUGGAAGAAAACUAUAAUAAAAUUUGUGUUGUUAUAAUAUAAUAUAUGUAUAAUUUAUUUUGUUUAUGAUCCUGCUACGCGUUACUAUCUAAUAACUUAGUAUAUAAACAAAUUUUUUAAGAGAUACCUAACUAAGAAAUUUCACUUAACUGACAUUUUACUUUUUGUGUAUGUUUGUCCAUAAUACCAUUUCAGCUAUAGCUGCUAUAAAAGUAUAGAUAUUUUCAGUUUCUGGCCACAUAUGAGAUUUUU